Molecule: transfer RNA, 84 nt
Filed under: Felis catus (domestic cat)
Lineage: Eukaryota; Metazoa; Chordata; Mammalia; Carnivora; Felidae
Rfam family: tRNA
About the family: Transfer RNA (tRNA) molecules are approximately 80 nucleotides in length. Their secondary structure includes four short double-helical elements and three loops (D, anti-codon, and T loops).
Source: Rfam by way of RNAcentral
ACCUGGGUGGCUCAGUCAGUUGAGUGUCUGAUUUCGGCUCAGGUCAUGAUCUCGCACCCGUGGGUUCGAGCCCCGCAUCAGGCU